CACUUUGUAGAGAGAGUUCAAGAGUACGUGAAACCGUUUAGGGGUAAACCUGAGAAACCCGAAAGGUCGAAGGGAGAAAUUCAUCGCGUUUCGCGGUAGACGGCGAGCGGUCGCGCGACGGAAAAACGUUUACGCUUUUUCGCGCCGUCAGUUCGUCGAAUUUGCCGCGAACGCGUGCACUUUUCUUCUGGUAGGACGUCGCGAUCCGUUGGGCGUCAGUCUACGGCUCGAGGUGGAGCCCGCCCGUCGCUCUCAUCCAGCGUACGGACGGACCCUCGCGUCCCGGCUGACUCGCUCGACGGUACACUCGAAAGGUUAGAGGCCGCUCCUCUGCGAGCGUUCGGCUCGCGGCAAGCGCGUCAGACGUGUCGGCGAUCGGACCCAGUGCCGAUUCCGACCUCUGGCGACUGUUGGCCGUCGAAGUUCUCGAACAGACCGGUUGACCGAUCUGCGACGCUAUAGCUUUGGGUACUUUCAGGACC
Molecule: ribosomal RNA, 482 nt
Filed under: Premnobius sexdentatus
Lineage: Eukaryota; Metazoa; Arthropoda; Insecta; Coleoptera; Curculionidae
Description: LSU rRNA
Source: RNAcentral